Molecule: ribosomal RNA, 443 nt
Filed under: uncultured bacterium
Lineage: Bacteria
Description: partial 16S ribosomal RNA
Rfam family: Bacterial small subunit ribosomal RNA
Source: RNAcentral
CCUACGGGGUGCAGCAGUGGGGAAUAUUGGGCAAUGGGCGCAAGCCUGACCCAGCAACGCCGCGUGAAGGAAGAAGGCCCUUGGGUUGUAAACUUCUUUUGUCAGGGACGAAACAAAUGACGGUACCUGAAGAAUCAGCCACGGCUAACUACGUGCCAGCAGCCGCGGUAAUACGUAGGUGGCAAGCGUUAUCCGGAUUUACUGGGUGUAAAGGGCGUGUAGGCGGGAGAGCAAGUCAGAUGUGAAAUUCCAGGGCUCAACCCUGGAACUGCAUUUGAAACUGUUUUUCUUGAGUGAUGGAGAGGCAGGCGGAAUUCCGUGUGUAGCGGUGAAAUGCGUAGAUAUACGGAGGAACACCAGUGGCGAAGGCGGCCUGCUGGACAUUAACUGACGCUGAGGCGCGAAAGCGUGGGGAGCAAACAGGAUUAGAUACCCGUGUAGUC